Molecule: ribosomal RNA, 752 nt
Filed under: uncultured bacterium
Lineage: Bacteria
Description: bacterial SSU rRNA
Rfam family: Bacterial small subunit ribosomal RNA
Source: RNAcentral
AGAGUUUGAUCCUGGCUCAGGAUGAACGCUGGCGGCGUGCCUAACACAUGCAAGUCGAGCGAAGCGCUUGAAUUCGAUUCUUCGGAUGAGGAUUCUUGUGACUGAGCGGCGGACGGGUGAGUAACGCGUGGGCAACCUGCCUUACACAGGGGGAUAACAGUUAGAAAUGACUGCUAAUAUCGCAUAAGACCGCAGUACCGCAUGGUACAGCGGUAAAAACUCCGGUGGUGUAAGAUGGGCCCGCGUCUGAUUAGGUAGUUGGCGGGGUAACGGCCCACCAAGCCGACGAUCAGUAGCCGACCUGAGAGGGUGACCGGCCACAUUGGGACUGAGACACGGCCCAGACUCCUACGGGAGGCAGCAGUGGGGAAUAUUGCACAAUGGGGGAAACCCUGAUGCAGCGACGCCGCGUGAGCGAUGAAGUAUUUCGGUAUGUAAAGCUCUAUCAGCAGGGAAGAAAAUGACGGUACCUGACUAAGAAGCCCCGGCUAACUACGUGCCAGCAGCCGCGGUAAUACGUAGGGGGCAAGCGUUAUCCGGAUUUACUGGGUGUAAAGGGAGCGUAGACGGCUGUGCAAGCCAGAUGUGAAAGCCCGGGGCUCAACCCCGGGACUGCAUUUGGAACUGUGUAGCUGGAGUGUCGGAGAGGCAGGCGGAAUUCCUAGUGUAGCGGUGAAAUGCGUAGAUAUUAGGAGGAACACCAGUGGCGAAGGCGGCCUGCUGGACGAUGACUGACGUUGAGGCUCGAAAGC